AGAGUUUGAUCCUGGCUCAGGAUGAACGCUAGCGGCAGGCUUAACACAUGCAGGUCGAGGGGCAGCGGGGAGGAAGCUUGCUUUCUCCGCCGGCGACCGGCGCACGGGUGAGUAACACGUAUGCAACCUGCCCCUGUCAGGGGGACAACCCGCCGAAAGGCGGGCUAAACCCGCGUACAUGCCACCGGGGCAUCCCGGAGGCAGGAAAGGCUUCGGCCGGACAGGGAUGGGCAUGCGGCGCAUUAGGCAGUAGGCGGGGUAACGGCCCACCUAACCGACGAUGCGUAGGGGUUCUGAGAGGAAGGUCCCCCACACUGGUACUGAGACACGGACCAGACUCCUACGGGAGGCAGCAGUGAGGAAUAUUGGUCAAUGGUCGGGAGACUGAACCAGCCAAGCCGCGUGAGAGAGGAAGGUACAGAGUAUCGUAAACCUCUUUUGUCAGGGAACAAAGGCGGGGACGUGUCCCCGGAUGAGUGUACCUGAAGAAAAAGCAUCGGCUAACUCCGUGCCAGCAGCCGCGGUAAUACGGAGGAUGCGAGCGUUAUCCGGAUUUAUUGGGUUUAAAGGGUGCGCAGGCGGUCUGUUAAGUCAGCGGUCAAAGCCCGGGGCUCAACCCCGGCCCGCCGUUGAAACUGGCAGUCUCGAGUUGGAGAGAAAUAUGCGGAAUGCCGCGGUGUAGCGGUGAAAAUGCAUAAAAUAUCGCGCAAAACUCCCAUUUGCAAGGCAGCCUGCCCGGCCUCCACACUGACGCUGAGGCACGAAAGCGUGGGUAUCGAACAGGAUUAGAUACCCUGGUAGUCCACGCAGUAAACGAUGAAUGCUGGCUGUCCGGGGGGAUUGACCCCUGGGUGGCGAAGCGAAAGCGAUAAGCAUUCCACCUGGGGAGUACGCCGGCAACGGUGAAACUCAAAGGAAUUGACGGGGGCCCGCACAAGCGGAGGAACAUGUGGUUUAAUUCGAUGAUACGCGAGGAACCUUACCCGGGCUCAAACGGGGAGUGACUCAGGCAGAGACGCCUGUUUCCCACGGGACACUCCCCCAGGUGCUGCAUGGUUGUCGUCAGCUCGUGCCGUGAGGUGUCGGCUUAAGUGCCAUAACGAGCGCAACCCCCGCGUGCAGUUGCUAACAGAUAACGCUGAGGACUCUGCACGGACUGCCGGCGCAAGCCGCGAGGAAGGCGGGGAUGACGUCAAAUCAGCACGGCCCUUACGUCCGGGGCGACACACGUGUUACAAUGGGUGGUACAGCGGGAAGCCAGGCGGCGACGCCGAGCGGAACCCGAAAUCCACUCUCAGUUCGGAUCGGAGUCUGCAACCCGACUCCGUGAAGCUGGAUUCGCUAGUAAUCGCGCAUCAGCCAUGGCGCGGUGAAUACGAAGGGGGGCCUUGCACACACCGCCCGUCA
RNAcentral lists this ribosomal RNA (1407 nucleotides) under uncultured bacterium. RNAcentral's name for it is "16S ribosomal RNA". It matches the Rfam family "Bacterial small subunit ribosomal RNA". The record is from RNAcentral.